GAUGAACGCUGGCGGCGUGCCUAAUACAUGCAAGUCGAGCGAACAGAUGAGGAGCUUGCUCCUCUGACGUUAGCGGCGGACGGGUGAGUAACACGUGGAUAACCUACCUAUAAGACUGGGAUAACUUCGGGAAACCGGAGCUAAUACCGGAUAAUAUAUUGAACCGCAUGGUUCAAUAGUGAAAGACGGUUUUGCUGUCACUUAUAGAUGGAUCCGCGCCGCAUUAGCUAGUUGGUAAGGUAACGGCUUACCAAGGCAACGAUGCGUAGCCGACCUGAGAGGGUGAUCGGCCACACUGGAACUGAGACACGGUCCAGACUCCUACGGGAGGCUGCAGUAGGGAAUCUUCCGCAAUGGGCGAAAGCUUGACGGAGCAACGCCGCGUGAGUGAUGAAGGUCUUCGGAUCGUAAAACUCUGUUAUUAGGGAAGAACAAAUGUGUAAGUAACUAUGCACGUCUUGACGGUACCUAAUCAGAAAGCCACGGCUAACUACGUG
This 497-nucleotide ribosomal RNA is filed under the name uncultured bacterium. RNAcentral's name for it is "partial 16S ribosomal RNA". It matches the Rfam family "Bacterial small subunit ribosomal RNA", at positions 28 to 507 of the family's 1533-position model. The record is from RNAcentral.